ACUGCUCUUAGAGUCAUUCUGGGUGUGGGUGCUGUGUCACAUGUGUGUUAGUAAGUAGCAGAGAGAAGAGAGGCUAUGUCUAAACUCAAUUUUUUGAAUCCAUGAAUACCAAAAUGAUUAGUAGCCUAACAUU
Small nucleolar RNA from Grammomys surdaster, 133 nucleotides. RefSeq annotates it as small nucleolar RNA SNORA17. NCBI's taxonomy places the organism in Eukaryota, Metazoa, Chordata, Mammalia, Rodentia, Muridae. The record is from RefSeq and is a predicted model, not a curated record. The transcript has a single exon.